Kwoniella dejecticola CBS 10117 is the source of this 86-nucleotide non-coding RNA. NCBI's taxonomy places the organism in Eukaryota, Fungi, Basidiomycota, Tremellomycetes, Tremellales, Cryptococcaceae. The record is from the annotation of a GenBank genome assembly.
GGGGGUGUAGUCAAGGGGUAUGAUAAGCGAUCCGCAUGAUAUAUGGGGUCCUUCGCCAGGCCCCGGUUCGAGUCCGGGUACCUCCA